This is a long non-coding RNA of Bos taurus (domestic cattle), 2004 nucleotides long. Lineage: Eukaryota; Metazoa; Chordata; Mammalia; Artiodactyla; Bovidae. The record is from Ensembl.
AUUAUAUGUUGUCUUUUGUAUCUGAGUUUUUUCACUUAGCAUAAUGUUUUCAAGGUUCAUGUUUGCUGGAGCACAUACUAGUACCUUGUUGUUUCUUUUUAUGGUUAUGACUCCAUUGUAUGAAAAUACCACGUUUAUCUAUCCAUUCAUAAUUCGGUGGACAUUUGGGUUGUUUCCACCUCUGACCAUUGUGAAUCAUGCUGCUGUGGCCAGUGCUUUACCAGGAUUUGUUUGAACAGCGUUUUCAGUUCCUUCGGAUGCAUACGUAGUUCACUGCUGGAUCAAAGUGGUUUAAAAAGUAAUAGAAGGGGCUUCCCUGGUGGCUCAGUGGUAAAGAAUCCGCCUGCCAAUGCAGAAGACACUGGUUUGAUCCCUGGUCCUGGAUGAUCCCACAUCCUAUGGAGCAACUUAGCCUGUGUGCCACAACUAUUGAGACUGUGCUCUGGAAUAAAAGUCACAGCACUGAAAAGCCGAGUGCCACAACGGGAGAGUAGUCCCCGCUUGCAGCAACUAGAAAAACUCCCCACACAGCAAUGAAGACUCAGUACAGCCAAAAAUAAAUAGCAGGCCCCAGGUGAGAUGCAGCAGACAGGGCAGUGAUGUAAACAGUUUGGACCUCAUGUCUUUGUGAUUCUCUCAUGUUGAAACGUGAAAGAAGAGGAGUCAGAAAGAGAGUGGCAUAAAGUACAUUGAUGAUGUGCAACUAUUACAACUGUCUUGUUCCCAAAUGGAACCUGUGAAGAUGGAGAAAGAGAUCGGAGUGAUCCUGCUACAAGACUUCCCCAGGAAGUGGCUUUGGGGGUAAUACCCAAAGGUUGGAGGUUGAGUCCUGUGCAAGCAUGGAGUUUGGCAAGUGAAGAGGCAGUAAGGAUGGCUGUUUGCAGGCAGGUACACUGUCUGCAAAGCCGGAAUAUAGACAAUUUCUAGUGGUCCAGGAUUGGAAAAGGUGAGAUGCUGUAGAGGGUGGCAAAGAACACAGGGGUUAAGGGUAUAAUGUGACACCAGCUUACUGGGGAGUAAGAUCAUGCCCUGCCAUACUCUUCUGGACAGGCUGGCUCCUCAGGGAGGACUCAGAGGCAGGUUCUGGCCUGGCCUUGCCCUCCUGCAAGCCCACUUGUCUCCACCAUCACACUUCCCCCAGUUUGUGUGAGCCUGAUUUCCACUCGAACCUGCCUCCACUGAUGCUAUUCUGAAAGAAUUGCCUUGCCGGAGUCUAGUGAAGGGACAGUAACCGGGGCCACCGCAGGACCCAACCUGUCCAGCAAUUUCUAGGCACUUCCCACCUCUCUGGUCACUGCUGCCUCAGUGCCUGCCUGCCUCAGGGCCUGUGCACUUGCUUCUGCCUGAACUGUUCUGUGCUGUUGGAGGAAACUCUUGAGAGUCCCUUGGACUGCAAGGAGAUCCAACCAGUCCGUCUUAAAGGAGAUCAGUCCUGAGUGUUCAUUGGACGGACUGAUGUUGAAGCUGAGACUCCAAUACUUUGGCCACCUGAUGAGAAGAGCUGACUCAUUUGAAAAGACCCUGAUGCUGGGAAAGAUUGAAGGCAGGAGGAGAAGGGGACCACAGAGGAUGAGAUGGUUGGAUGGCAUCACCGACUCAAUGGACAUGAGUUUGGGUGAACUGCGGGAGUUGGUGAUGGACAGGGAGGCCUGACAUGCUGCGUUUCAUGGGGUCCAACGAGUCGGACACGACUGAGUGACUGAACUGUUCUUCCCCUAACUGUUAGGGCCAGCCCUGAGUCCCACACUCUUGACCAUCACCUACGUAUUUUGACUGUUGGGCCAGGAUAGGUAUGGCUCAUCCCUACCCCACGCAACCCGGUGAUUUUGGGGCCCAGCACAGAGUGCUGGACUGGGGUCAUGGAAAGUGCUCAGCAAAUAAUUACUAAAGGAUUCCGCGCCUCAGGCAGCUCACGGCCAGCCACCAACUUUCCUCCUCCCUCUUCCUAGGAGGGAAGCGGGGUCUAGGCCCAGGCCGCGGGGGAGGGCAAGGCCCGCGGCGGGG